RNAcentral lists this long non-coding RNA (277 nucleotides) under Musa acuminata (dwarf banana). Its description in RNAcentral is "long non-coding RNA (MACU_LNC006953)". The record is from RNAcentral. Lineage: Eukaryota; Viridiplantae; Streptophyta; Magnoliopsida; Zingiberales; Musaceae.
AAGAGAUCAACCCAAAGUUUAGAAUCUGUAAGGGUUCUAUCACCUGGUAUCAGAGCAGCGUUCUUGGCAUCUCGCUGCCCUUCCACUGCCAUCCAUCAGCCCUCCACAACCGCCCAAAGCAAUUCCCACAAUUGCUUAAAAGAUCGUCGCCGAAUUUCGCCAUCAUCUCCACCACCGCGGAUCAUCCUUUGAUCUCCCCGUGAAUUGCAACAGGUUCUGGUUUCCUACCUUACUGCUGCUGCAAUUUAGUUAUCCUUAUUCAAAAAUCUAAAAAAAA